CGCUUUUUGUAUUUAUUAAAUAAAAAGUAGAGCCUGCCCAGUGAAGUAAAUUUAAACGGCCGCAGUACCCUGACUGUGCGAAGGUAGCAUAAUCAUUUGCUCUUUAAUUAGGAGCUGGAAUGAAUGGUUUGACGAGGGCUUAACUGUCUUAAAUUAAUUUGUUAGAAAUUGACUUUUAGGUGAAGAGGCCUAAAUUAAUUCAUAGGACAAGAAGACCCUAUUGAGCUUUAAUUUGUUUAUUUAAGUAUAAGUAUAUAAAUAAAGUUUAAUUAAAUAAAAGAUUUGGAUUGGGGCGAUCUAGGAAAAAGAUAAUCUUCCUUUGUAUUAGGUAAGUUAUAUAAAUAAGAGAUCCAGGAAUAUCCUGAGUAUAAGAAUAAGUUACCAUAGGGAUAACAGCGUAAUCUUUUUUGAGAGUUCUUAUCGAAAAAAAGGGUUGCGACCUCGAUGUUGGACUAAGGUAUCCUGGGGGUGUAGCAGUUCCCGAUGGUUGGUCUGUUCGACCAUU
Molecule: ribosomal RNA, 505 nt
Filed under: Solemya flava
Lineage: Eukaryota; Metazoa; Mollusca; Bivalvia; Solemyida; Solemyidae
Description: partial 16S ribosomal RNA
Rfam family: Bacterial large subunit ribosomal RNA
Source: RNAcentral